CAAACAGAAGCCAUUAACAUAUUGCAGCUGUCAUGACUAAGAAAGAUACUGGAGCUGGGAGAUGUGCGCAUCCCUGCAUACCUUGGCUCAGUUAGCAAAGCUCUCCCAAUUGGAGUCACUUGGGAGAGGAAAAGAAGCGUGGGAUGUAGCCAGUCAGGAGUGAAAGAAUACAUUUUACUGCAGGUUUACUUUCAUGUAUUAUGCAUAGCCUUCAAGGUCACUGCAUGAUCAUUUAUAAGAUUUUAAUGAGAUAUCAAAGUGGAAAGAAUGGAAUAUAAUUAAUGGAACCUUCUGCACUCAAGUGAUCCUCCCAUUUCCAUCCCCCAAGCAGCUGGGACUACAGGUGUA
RNAcentral lists this long non-coding RNA (348 nucleotides) under Homo sapiens (human). RNAcentral's name for it is "non-protein coding lnc-POU4F1-3:1". The record is from RNAcentral. Lineage: Eukaryota; Metazoa; Chordata; Mammalia; Primates; Hominidae.